AUUUCUCCUCCAUUCCGGAGCCAGCCUCGUGGCCGGAAGCCAGACUGGCCUCGUUUUAGGUCCGGCCCGGCCGGUCUGCGCAGCUGGGGCCCCUCUCCGCACCGGGCGGACCCGAGAGAAGGGGUGACUUGCCAGGGAGCUUCGGACGGAGGGCCCCAAGUGACUCCUUGCCCCCUCCCUGUGCUUCGAGUUCCUAGAGCCCCUGCCUUUGCUCUGGCCCCUCCAGACCCCUUUGUCAUGGAGCAGCGCCCCAAUGAACUUUGUAAAAUGUCAGUCAUAUUGUCCUCCACGGGUCCAACCUUCCCUGGCUUUGCAUCCUGCCCUGCUGACCGGAGAGUAGACCGACCACGUAAGGCCUCGUCGGAAACUGUUCACUUCUGAAAAUGAAAGUGUGCACCCUCCACCCAACAGCAAGCAAAAACUCACGAAGCCCCUGGUGGGACCCCACCUGCUGCCAUUCUCUCUCAGGCUUCUACUCUACACAAGCUUCUCACUCUUUCUUCAUUUCAGAGGACCAAGGCUGGGUGUGGGAGAGUGUGGCCUAGGUAGAAAGUUUUGGGAUCUCUCCCCACCUUAAGCCUCAUGCCCAAGCUGAUGCCUUAGGACUUCAGGGAGACCCGCAGGCCUGGGCUGAACCUGGCGAUCUCUACACUUGCCCUUCCCCCACAUCAGGGUGCUUGUGAGCUGUCAUUCUGGGGCAGCCCUGGAGGGAGGCAUGGCCCCAAUGCUGGCUAAGCUUGAAGUUUAAACACCAACAGGAUAUGUUCUCCACACUGGUGUCUGUGAUCGCAGAACACGCUUUUCUCUAAACAGGGCGGAGAGCAUCCUUAACCUAUAAUAUGAAUCGUACAUGCGACACAACAGACAACCUGAUAUCUAGAGACAUCUCAUGAGACAUUCUCCGACUGCAAAGUAACAAGAGUAAAAACGUCUUUUUAAAAAGGGUAACUGUGAGUAUUCACAGAAGGGAUGAAAGUUCCAGCCAGCUUUCAACAACGUCCCCCAGAUAGCUUUUGAGGGAAAAGAGGCAACUCACCACUGAAAAGUUGCAAAACACAACAGGGAAAAACCCACUCUGAGAGCUGUUGGAAGCACAGACAUAAAACCAUGUCCAGAAAACUGCAGAGACUGGCAUUCUCAGACAUAUAAUGAGAUAAUUAUGUUUCACGUGUUUAAGGAAAUAAAAAGGAAGCUUAAAAUUUGGAGCAAGAAACAAGAGACUGUAAAGUAUGGUGAUCCUGCCUCCUCCUCCAGCGCGCUAGUCCGCAUCUCAUCACACAACCUGCACGCUUGCUGUGCCCUCCUCUUGGAAUGCUGUUCCCGCCGAUGUCCGCGUGGCUCGCUCCCUCGAUUUACCAAGGGGUUUUGCUCAAAUGUCACUUGCUUAAAGGCGUCUUUCCUUACCAGCUGUGAAAGGUGGAACUGCAUUCAUUUGUUGAAGUUCUUGCCCUCUGUACCUCAGAAUGUGACCUUAUCUGGAAAUAAGGUUAUUGCAGAGGGGGUAGUUUGGACACAGAUACGCGGGGAGAGGAACUGGUGUUUCUACAAGUCAGAGAAUGCCGAAGUUGUUGGCAAACCGCUGAAGCCAAAGGCGAGGGGCCUGAACAGCUUCUCCGUCACAGCCCAGGAAGGACCACCCCUGCUGACGCCUUGAUUAGGACUGCUGGCCUCCAGGACUGGACACAGCCGAUUCCCGGUUAACACGCCCCGGCCCCCCUGGGACUCUGUUAAAUCAGCUCUAGGAAGUGACCCCAGUACCACCUACUGCAAAUCCGCCCCUACUGUCCUGCUGCCCUGCUUGGUCCCCUUAAGGCCCCUUGGGGGCUUAAAUGAAACACGUUUCUCUCUCUGUUCUGGAGGCUGCGAAGUCCAAGGUCGAGGCGCUGGCAGAUUCGGUGUUUGGUGAGGACCUGCUUCCUGGUUCACAGACAACUGUCCUCAUCGGGCUAAAGGGGCGCGGGAGCCCUCUAGGGUCUGCUUUAUAUGGGCGCCGUUCACCUGAUCACUCCGAAGUCCCACCUGGCUCGCCUGCGACACGUGCGUGGAGGGGCUCCUGGCGCACUG
Molecule: long non-coding RNA, 2064 nt
Organism: Neogale vison (American mink)
Lineage: Eukaryota; Metazoa; Chordata; Mammalia; Carnivora; Mustelidae
Exons: 3
Source: RefSeq, a predicted model, not a curated record